Momordica charantia (bitter melon) is the source of this 1107-nucleotide long non-coding RNA. RefSeq lists it as uncharacterized. Lineage: Eukaryota; Viridiplantae; Streptophyta; Magnoliopsida; Cucurbitales; Cucurbitaceae. The record is from RefSeq and is a predicted model, not a curated record.
GCAUUUUCUUUCUACACAGUUUCUUCUUUGCUUCAAACUCAAUUCAAGCUUUUUCUUCCAUUAUAAAUAUAGCAGUUGUACAUAGGUUCUUCUCCUCAAAUUCAAUUCUACUUUCAAACUUCCUCUCUUGUUAAAAGUAUUUUCUUCAAAUUCAAUCGUUUCGAUAUAUCAGUCCAAUUUCUUUCUUAUUUCAUACUAUCAUUUUUUCUCUUUCUCCAUUCCAUGGAAUUCUCUCCUUGGGUAACUUUUAGGGCUACACUGUGUCGUUAGAUGGUACUGGAGAUUUUGUCCGAAUUAGAGAUGCUAUAGCUGCGGCACCCAACGUCAAUACGAGUAGAUUUUACAUUCAUAUCAAAUCUGGGAUCUACAGAGAACAUGUCGAAGUUCCGGCGCAAAAAAACAUCUGUAUUGUUGAUUGGAGUCGAUGCUUCUACCACUAUUGUUGUCGAUAAUCGAAGCAAUGACGCCCCGGUUUUUUUGACUACCUCCACUGCAACAUUCAGCCCAAGAGCUAGCCAGCUGACACUUCUCAAUAAAUGAAAUGACACGGUUACCACGUGUUGCACAGUGAAGAUGAAGCCUCAAGAUUUGUAAUUUUAAUCAGACUGUUAAUGGAAGAAGAUAGCUAGCUAAGAGCUCACUUAACGUUGCAGACGAGGUAGUCGAAAAACCGGCGUGAUUGCUUCGAUUAUCAACAAUGUCUCCAAUCAACUAUACAAAUGUUUUUUGUGCCGGAAGUUCAACAUGUUCUCUAUAGAUCCCGAUUUGAUAAAAUCUACUCACAUUGAAGUUGGGUGCUGCAGCUAUAGUAUCACUAAUUCGGAUGAAAUCUUGAAUACCAUCCAGCGACACAAUAGUCCCAAAAGUUAAAAGACACCGAGAGAACUCCUCACGAUAUGGAGAGAGAUAAAAACUAACGGUAUGAAAUAAGAAAGAAAUUGGACUGACAUAUGGAAAUGAUUGAAUUUGAAGAAGAAAGGAAGUUUGAAACUAGAAUUGAAUUUGAGGAGAAGAACCUUACGUAGAACUGCUAUAUAUUCACAAUGGGAGAAAAUCUUGUAAGAAGUGAAUUUACUAAUAAAUGGAAAUGGAAUAUAAUUGUACUAA